GCGCCAGUAGCUCAGCUGGAUAGAGUACCUGGCUACGAACCAGGUGGUCGGAGGUUCGAAUCCUUCCUGGCGCG
This 74-nucleotide transfer RNA is filed under the name Thiohalocapsa sp. PB-PSB1. Its description in RNAcentral is "uncultured Thiohalocapsa sp. PB-PSB1 tRNA". It matches the Rfam family "tRNA". From Rfam's summary of the family: Transfer RNA (tRNA) molecules are approximately 80 nucleotides in length. Their secondary structure includes four short double-helical elements and three loops (D, anti-codon, and T loops). Lineage: Bacteria; Pseudomonadati; Pseudomonadota; Gammaproteobacteria; Chromatiales; Chromatiaceae. The record is from Rfam by way of RNAcentral.